This 468-nucleotide ribosomal RNA is filed under the name uncultured bacterium. Its description in RNAcentral is "partial 16S ribosomal RNA". It matches the Rfam family "Bacterial small subunit ribosomal RNA", at positions 28 to 507 of the family's 1533-position model. The record is from RNAcentral.
GACGAACGCUGGCGGCGUGCUUAACACAUGCAAGCCGAACGGAAAGGCCCUGCUUUUGUGGGGUGCUCGAGUGGCGAACGGGUGAGUAACACGUGAGUAACCUGCCCUGGACUUUGGGAUAACUUCAGGAAACUGGGGCUAAUACCGGAUAGGAGCUCCUGCUGCAUGGUGGGGGUUGGAAAGUUUCGGCGGUUGGGGAUGGACUCGCGGCUUAUCAGCUUGUUGGUGGGGUAGUGGCUUACCAAGGCUUUGACGGGUAGCCGGCCUGAGAGGGUGACCGGCCACAUUGGGACUGAGAUACGGCCCAGACUCCUACGGGAGGCAGCAGUGGGGAAUAUUGCACAAUGGGCGGAAGCCUGAUGCAGCAACGCCGCGUGCGGGAUGACGGCCUUCGGGUUGUAAACCGCUUUCGCCUGUGACGAAGCGUGAGUGACGGUAAUGGGUAAAGAAGCACCGGCUAACUACGUG